UUCGUCUCCCAUUUUCUUUUAUUUUCUUCUUCUUCAUUUUUUUUAUGUGCUCGAAUCACUUUCGGGUGUGUUUGGAUGCUCAAUUGAUAUGCAUUGCAAUAACCCGAAUUGGAAAGUAAGUCCAAAUUGAAGUUCAGUUGUGGUCUUGGAUUAAAAUGGCUCCAUGAACACUUGGUAUUUCUUCUUAUCAGGUUGUUUUAUCAGGAUUCGGUUAACUCGUGAAUCCAAACACAACCUCAUUUGAACUGCAAACAGUCACUGAUGUUUUUGUUGUAUCCACAAUGAGGAAGCAACCUUGAAUUGCAGUUUUCUAAGUCCAACUUGAAGUGAUGUUGUUGCAAUUUGGAGCUUAGACUAGGGUGCAAAUGGCUUGUGUUGGGUCGGGUUGAGGGGAGUUCCAAAGCUGACCAAAUUAACAAUCGGGUCUAGAUUUCAGCCCUUGACACAGUGGUUUGGGUCUGGUCAAAGUCCAAAUAGGUUGGGUUUUGGUCGGGUUUGGGUUAGAUCCUUAGCUAAGAGAGUCCAGGCUCGACUCAUUUAUCCAUGGUUAGGGUCUCAGUCGCAGUGGUCUAAGAAGCACCUGGCUACCUAUUUUCUUUGGAUAGCUUUUUACAUUUUAGUCAGCUGACAAAGUUAACCAUCGGGUCUAGAUUUCAGCAGGGUGACUCUGGUUUGGGUCUGGUCCAAGUCCAAAUAAAGUUGGGUUUAUGUCUGGUGUGGGUUGGGUCUAGGCUAAGAGAAUCCAAAACUGACCUUUUUUAUCCGUGGGUAGGGUCUAAGUUCUUUUCCCCCCUUCUAAUUUCUAGUUUCCUACUUGACUUAGAUUCCUUGUCAGGCAUCUAUACGCAUAUUUUCUUUAGGUAGGUUUUUACAUUUUAGUCAGCUGACUGAGUUAAGAAUUGGGUUUAGAUUUCAACCCCGGAAACUGUGGUUUAGUUUUGGUACAAGUCCAAAUAAGUUGGGUUUUUGUUAGGCCUAGGCCAAGCAUGGUAUUAAAAAAUGGGUAUGUAACAGCUGUAACGUAAUGGUUAUGGUGCGACCCAUUACACCAUAUGGAGUUGUAACGCUGUUCUGAAAAAAAGGCCCAUAGUGGACUUGUAACAGCUGUUACGGGUCCAUAAUGGGCCGAUACAUUUCCUUCCUUUCAAAAUUUUUUUUGACCGUUACAGGGCAGUAAUGUAAUGGCCGUAAGGCUGGCCAUUAUGUCGACUGUUUCCAUUUAUUGAAUGCCUUGAUGGCUAGGCUAAGAGAAUCCAGACCCAACCUUUCGUCCAUGGCCAUAGUGUGGGGUGCUUGAUUCGGGGUUGUAGUGUCCAGGCCUGGGUAACUAUUUACGAAAAACACAUCUCCGCAAAGACUCCUUGUCAAGCACCCAUCUAUGUAAUCUCUCUGGAUUGGUUUUUACAUUUUAGUCAGCUGACUGAGUUAAUGAUUGGGUCUAGAUUUCAGCCCCGGGCACUCUGGUUUGGGUCUGGUCCAAGUCCAAAUAGGUUGGGUCACGAGGCUACGAGAAUCCUGACCCAUCUAUCCAUGGGUAGGGUCUAAGUUGUAUUGGUCUAAUUUCUAAUUUCCUACUUGAGAUGGACUCUUUGCAAAGCACCUGUCUAUGUAUUUUCUUUAGAAAGUUUUUACAUUUUACUCAGCUGACUGAGUUAAUGAUCAGGUCUAGGUUUCAGCCCCAGACACUGGUUUGGGUCUUGUUGAAGUUCAAAAUAAGUUGGGUUUAGGUCAGGUCUAGGUUGGCUCUAGGCUAAGAGAAUCCACACCCAGCCCAUUUACCCAUAUGUAGAGUCAAGGUGUGUUGGAUGUUGGUCUAAUUUGUAAUUUCCCACUUGACUUGGACUCCUUGACCUGCCCCUGUCUACAGAUUUUUUAUUUUUAGAUAGAUUUUUCAUUUUAGUCAGUUGGUGGAGUGAAUGACUGGGCCUAGAUUUCAACCCCGGACACUCUGAUUUGCGUCUGGGGGUCCAGUCCAAAUAAGUUGGUUUCGGUCAGGUCUGGGUUGGGUCUAGGUUAAGAGCAUCCAGACCCGAACCAUUUAUCCAUGCAUAGGGAUUAAGUUGCGCUGUUCUCAUUUCUAGUUUCCUACUUGAUCUACACUCCCAGUCAACCACUGUCUAGGCAUUUCUUUAGAUAGGUUUUUACAAUUUAGUCACCUGACCAUGUUAAAGAUGGGGGCUUGAUUUUAGCCCCAGUCACUCUGAUCUGUGUCUGGUCUAAAUCCAAGUCAGCUGGGUUUUGGUCAGCUCUGGUUUGGGUCUAGGCUAAGAGAAUCCAAAUCUGACCCAUUUAUAUAUGUAUAGGUUCUAAGUUGUGUUGGCCUAUUUUCUAAUUUCCUCCUUGGACUCCUUGUCAAGCACCCAUCCAUGUAUUUCCUUUAUUUAGGUUUUUACAUUUUAGUCACCUGACCAAGUUAACGAUCGGUUCUAGAUUUCAGCCCCAGACACUCCAGUUUGGGUCUGUUCCAAGUUCAAAUAUAUUUCGGUUUAGGUUGGGUCUAGGUUUCAUCUAGGCUAAGAGAAUCAUGUCCCGUUUAUUCUUGGGUAGGGUCUAAAUUGUGUUGGUCUUAUUCCUAAACUUGAUCUAGACUCCUUGUCAAGCACCUGUCUAUGUAUUUUCUAUAGAUAGGUUUUUACAUUUUAGUCAUCUGACCAAGUCAAUGAGAUCUUGAUUUCACCCCCAGAGACUGGCUUGGGUAUGGUCCAAGUCCAAAUAAGUUGGGUUUAGGUCAGGUCUGGGUUGGGUCUAGGCUAAGAGAACCCUGACCGGUUUAUCCAUGGGAAGGGUUUAAAUUGUGUUGGUCAAAUUUGUAGUUUCCUACUUGACUUGGACUCCUUGUCAAGCACCUGUCUAUGUAUUUUCUUAGAUAGGUUUUUACAUUUUAGUCACCUGACCGAGUUACUGACGAGGUCUAGAUUUCAGCCCAGGACACCAUGGUUUGGGUCUGGUGCAACUCCAAACAAGUUGGUUUUGGGUCUGGUGUGAGUUGUGUCUAGGCUAAAAAGAAUCCAGACUUGACCUAUUUAUCCAUGGGUGGGGUCUGAGUUGUGUGGGUCUAUUUUCUAGUUUCCUAAUUGACUUAAGACUCCUUGUCAAGCGCCCGUUACCUAUUUUCUGUAGAUAGGUUUUCAUGGUUUAGUCAUCUGAUCGAGUUGACAAUUGGGUCUAGAUUCCAGCCCUGGACACUCUGGUCUGAGUCUGGUUCAAGUCUGUAUAAAUUGGGUUUAGGUCAGGUUGAGGUCAGCUAUUGGCUAAGAGAAUCCAGAACCAAUCCAUUUAUCCAUGUGUAGGGUCUAAGUUGCAUUAAUCUAAUUUCUUGUUUUCUACUUAAGACUCCUCGUCAAACACCCAUCUACAUGCUUUCUUUAGAUAGGUGUUUACAUUUUAGUCAGCUGCCUUAAUUGCCUUAGUUGAAAGAUUUUAAGGGACAUUCUUUUUAAACAUCUGGGUUGCUUAUGAGUUUGGACUAUUUUUGGGUGGUCUGGAUUUGACCCAUUUAAAAGCCAGGUAUGAGGUGGAUCAGAUCGGGUGAACUUUCAGAGGCUGAAACCUGAUCCAUUUGAUAACCAAGAUUGACCCAUGCAGUAUCUAGACCUGUCAUUGGGUUGACCCCUCUGUACCCCCUAGUUUAGACCAUCAAUACAGAUACUAUGGAUGGAAAUAAAAAUGUGGUCAUUUUCACCUUGUUAUAACAGUAAUUGCAAUUCGCUUCAUGUCAGCACACCCUUGAUGCAUUGAGAGGUGAUUCAUUGUUUGUAGAGGAAUGACUCUUUUUUUUUUUUAAUGUCACCACACCUGCAACUUUCAGUCCACUUCCAUGGGUGAAUUUUCAGCCAUCAGGUGUAGCUGGUUUUGUUAGGGUAAGAAACGGCUUAAAUGGUUCCUCCUCCGACACUUCUCCUUUCACCCUGCAAAUUCAAACUGGUGGUUGUAGAUGUUAGGAGAUUUUCUCUCAACAUUCUUUAGACUUUAGAUGGUUCUUUUUAGGGUUGGGUUAACCUGGAGAGUGUCUCAAUAUUUAAUAAUCAAAUUAAAUUGUAUUUAGAUUAGAGAAAUGCUGCACUGAUCUCAGCGCACUAUAAGUUAUAGUGCUCCUAGCUCCAAUGGGCUGCCUAGACACUUCAAUCAAUUGAUCACUGUUCAUUAGAUCCAAUGCAUAUUUACAUGGGCUACCAUGGAAACAUCACACUGAUCUGACAAAUAUUAGCCAUUGUUUUGAUCAAUGGCCUUAAACAUGGAUGAUGGAUCGUUAAUAUCAUUGACAAAAAAAUAGGUUCAAUCAAUAAUAUGAUCCAUCUAUUUGUUAGGGACCAUCAUAGAUUGCUUAUGACUCUAAAGAAUUGAUUUUGUUAGUCGAUUGUAGCCAUUCCAUCCAUGGCUUGGAAAAAGGAUGGCCACAGAAAAUAAGGCCAAAUUAAAUGGAUUAGAUCAUCCAAUCAGUGUGCUUUUUGCAAGGUAGCCUAUAUAUUGCUUUGAGAGCACUUGGAGCGCUUCUCCGAUCUAAAUACUACAAAAUUUAAUUAUUAAAUAUCGAGUUGACUCGAGCAGUAUUGAUGUGUUUAACUCCCUCGGAGGUUGGGUGUUCGACUUGAGUCUUGCUCGAUAGUGAGUUUUUUGGCGACUCAGCCCAAAAUCUCAUCAAGUCGAGUUGGCUCAGCGGAGUUUUGAGUCAAGUCACUGAGUUUUAGAACAAUGGUUCUGAAAUGAACAAUUGGAUGCUAUUUAGAUCUUGUUGUGCUCUGAUUUCUCCGCCAGUGCUUAUGGCGGGUCAAUGUAUCGAGUCAAGACCUUCCAUCUAGUGGUUGUACCAUGAAUGGCAAAUAUAUAAAGAUACCCAUGUUUCAGACGAUCCAUCUAUCUAAUCAGUUUCCUCCAUAGCUACUGUAGAAAAUGGAACUAGUUAAUGGCCCAACAAUGAACGUUGAACAGUGAAGGAAAAAAAUGUGAGUUAGGAGUGUCCGAUUUUGUGAUGGUCAAAACCAAGGUAUUCCGUAACAGUAACAAUGGCUGUGAUGGGCAUCACUGUUACUUUUACGAUAUGGGUUGUAACUGCUGUUAUGGUUUCUCUCUUCUUCUUUUUUUU
Long non-coding RNA from Magnolia sinica, 5083 nucleotides. RefSeq lists it as uncharacterized. Lineage: Eukaryota; Viridiplantae; Streptophyta; Magnoliopsida; Magnoliales; Magnoliaceae. The record is from RefSeq and is a predicted model, not a curated record. The transcript is spliced from 2 exons.